UAUUGAUAACUGAUCCAGGUCCAAGUUCAAACUUAGGGGACAGAAAAACAGCUGAUUUGAUUUUAUCUUCGGCCUUCACAAAGGAACUUGAGCAUGUUGUACCAAACAAUAGUAGAAGUAUUGCCUCUAAAAAUACAAAAUCUCUAGAUACAAAACACAUGCUGAUCUGUCAUGGAGUUUUUUUAUUAGUAAUUCAUAAUUAUUGAUUAAAACAAAACAAAACAUCUUUCCUUUAAAAUAUUAUUAACUACAGUACAAAGUAAACGAGGUCGUGGAUUAAUACUUAAAAAAUAUUUAAAAAUCUUUUUUUUUUUUUUUUUGUGGCCGGGUUUCGAACUCCAUAUCUUGUAUAUUUUAUGUAUUGUCAAUAUCAAUUGAUCUAAACUCACGAGGACAAAUAUUUAAAAAUCUAACGACGAAAUAUGUCGUUUUUUUUUAUUUUUUUAUUUUUUUAUAGUAAAUGUUAAUAAUCUUCAUCAUUUUUAUAAUUGAAAUAAUAUUUCUUUUUAGUAAGUAACAUAAUUGCUAGACUUACACACUAACGGUGUAGAGAAGUGGAAAAUCUUUAGUUUAAACCUUUGCCCCUGUAGUUAAAUGUUCUUAGAACUAUCAAUUAAGCUGCAUUUAUAAGAUUGAAAUAAUAAUUUAACUGAUAUUCAUUUUAUUUAAAACAACGAAAAAUAAAUAUUUAACUUGUAUUCAACCAACAUUAAUCAAGUCACUGUUUUAGCCGUAAAUAAGACAAAUGUCACAAAUUUUUAUUUCUAAAUAGUGUUGUUAAUAAUCGUUAAUAUUUCAGAUAAUCUUAAGCAUCGGUUCAUGAUAUAAAGAAAAAUUUGUCCAUAAAAUUUCCGUGAGCUUAGAUCAGUUGGUAGGGAUAUUGCAUGUUAUAUGUAGGGGCCGGGGUUCGAACUCCGAACACCCCAUUUCUACACAUUUAAUUGUGUGAGCUCUAUCCACUAGGCUACUUGACAUAAAGAAAAAUUUGUCCAUAAAAACACUCGACUGACAUAAACUAAUGAUCAAAACACUAGUAUUUUUUUAUUACUCCCUCUCACCAUUUAUAUGACAUCUUUUCCAUUUCUUUUUAAAAAUAUUUCCACUAUUUCUUUGUCAUGUAAUUUAAGACUUUUUAAAAAAAAUAUUAAGAAUUUUUUUUGAGAAAGGGGAAUCUAUUAUUAAUAAGUGGCACUAAAAUAUUUUUUUAAUGGCAAAAUAUAUUACUCUCUCCCUUUUAUAUCUUAAACACCAUUUUAUUAGAGCUAAAGGUUGCUUACAUAUAAGGGGAUUAAAUCCCAAGUAUUACACCAAAAAGAGAAAAAUAAAAACACCAAAAAAAACUCCAAAGAAAAACAAUCAGCACCCUUAAAAUGUCGGAUCACCUAACAAUAGCUCCUAAAAAACCAACACCACCGACAAUGGACAAUUAAGCAACCGAUAAUGAUUUUGCACUAAAGUAUUUUUACAAUUGUCUUCGAGAAGACUCAAAUUAAUACCUUAAAAUCAUGUACAAUAUCAAACUUUUACCACUAAACUAGCACAUCGAAGUAUUUUUUCACAAAAUUUCAUGUGCAUUGAUAAUUUUUUUUUAUAGAAAUGCUCCCUUUUAAUUUACCAAUAAAAAAAUAGAUACAUAUUGUCUUUUAUGAUAUUAAUAGUUUAUAGGGAAAAAUAUGUAACACGACACACAUUUCAGUCAAACUUACUACUCCAUAUAUAAUUUUUCUUAGGCUUAAAUGCACUUUUGACCCCCUAUGUUUGCUAUGGUAGAAAUUUUAGCCUCCUAUUAAAAAAAAAAAAAAAAUUCAGCCCCCUAACUUCAUCUGCUUUUGCAACCCAUAAGCCCCCUCUGAUUUUGACUUGGUCAAAGGUUACUGUGUAAUUUAAAAUAAAAAUAACAAAAAAAAGAAAUUAAAAAUAAUUAAUAGCCUUAGGAUUAAAAAUCGGUGAUCAAGAUUUAAAGAACUCACAUGCUCCCUCUCUUAACUAAUUUUCCCUUCUCCACUCAUUACUACUUCAUGUUCUCCUUCUGAACAACACAAACCCACCCAGAAAAGUCAAGCUCGAUCAGUCUCCAUAUCAUCAACACAUAACCAGAAACUAGAAAACUCCAUCACCUUCAUAUCCAUCGACACAAAACCAAAAAACCUAGAACAAGGACAAGAACAUCAUCUUCAUAACUCAUCACCCCAAAAAAAUCAAACCCUUCGAUUCUAAAUUCAAAUUCAUCAACUAAUCAAACCCAAAAAAACUCAAAGGUGCGAAUAAAUACUCAUGGUGAGUGGCUUGUGGUAAAUCGUAAAAAGAAGAAAACUCCACCAAUUACAGUGAAGAAAAAAUAGAUGGGACAAUUAAUUAGAAACUCAAAAAACUUGGGUGCAUUCAAGUUGCAAUUAAAGGAGGAAUUAAGUCAAAUGAUAAUUAUGAAGAAGGAAGGGAUAAGGCGCAAAUCAUGUCCGAUGGAGGAAGUGAGAAACCACAAAAAACGUGGUGAUGUGGAACCACAAUAGCAGAAUUUUAUGGAACACCGCGCCGGUGUUCUCAACCUUCCAUUAUUUUUUGUUUGAAAUUGAUUUUUCUAAUCUAGAUCUGGAUGAAAAAUAGAGGAAGAAAGAGAAGCGAUUGAAGAGGUGACGGUGGCCGUGUUUUACAUAAAGGGUGACCCUUUAGUGAAGGGAAGUGGCGGUGGAUAGUCAUGGUGGUGGUGGAAUUUCUCUAUGAAGAUGAUGUGAGAACAAGAGAAUAGAAGAAGAAAUGGGGUUUAUUAGAAAGAAGGGACACAAUAACACUUACAUUGAAUCUUUUAAUGUUGACCAUUGAUUUAAUCCUAAGGCUAUUAAUUAUUCUUAUCAUUCUUUUUCAUUUAAAUUUAAUUUAGUAAUAGCCUUUGAUCAGGUCAAAAUUAGAGGGGGUCAAAGAAGGGUGAAGUUAGGGGGCUGAAAAGUGAUUUUUUUAAUAGGGGACCAAAAUUGUUACCAUGACAAAUAUAGGGGCCAAAAAUGCAUUUAAACCUUUUUGUUAAUAUUCAUAAUUUUAUGUAGAGGUUCCUGCUUCCUAUGAUAAGGGACGAAUGAAGUAUAGACAAAGCCAUGAAUAACAUUAGACGCUGAUUAGAGAAACGUGAGUGAAAAAGGGUGGAGUAUAGUGCAGGUAUAUUGAAGAACAAAUAUAUGAAAAACUAAGGGGGGUGUAUUGAAUUGGGAUUUCAAGGGAUUUUAAAAGACUUUUUUAGAAUGAAAAAGUCUAGUGGUAUUCAAUCAAGACUUUUAUAAAAUUUAAACAAAUCUUGUGGUAUUCAAUCAAGACAAUCAUGACUUUUUUUUUAAGGCAACAAAAUCCGUUGGUAUUCAAUUGAGAUUUCUCAUGACUUAUGAAUUGUCCAUUGGUAUUCAAAAGUCUAUAGAUUUUGAUGGAUUCUUGGAUGGAAUGGAUUUUGUGAGACUUUUUAGUUAAAAAUAUCUCUUCCAACAAUCUCACAGAAACCCUUGAGAUUUUGCCAUUGUCUUGCAAACCUUUCUGCCGUCAUCUUCCAUGCCAGUUUUUUCUUUUCUCUAUCAAAUUCUUCAACUUCCAUUUCUUGUGUCUGAUUCUCUUUUUUUUUUUCCAUUACUUUUUUUUUGUUUCAAUUACUUUUUUUUAUCUGUAUACUCUUUUUGUCCAUAUCAAUUACUAUUAUUUGUUUUUGUCUGAUUCUUGCCAAUGCAAUUUUUUUUGUUCGGUUAAUUUUUUUUGUUCAAUACUAUGCUAUGCUAAUCUUCCCCGUCCCCAUCGUCCCUCAGAUUAUUUUUUCAUUGGCAAAUUCGUCAACGCCGAUUGCUUUUUUCCUUCCCACGUUCAACGGUGUCGAUGGAACGCGAUUAACCAAUCGUCCUUACUUUUUUUUUUUUUUUUUUUUUUUUUUAUCAAAUCAAUGUUUUUUACUCAAAAGCAUAAUUAUUUUUAUAGUUUUUGUCUUCUUUUUGUUCGAUUAAUUUUUUUUGUCUGAUUCUUGUCAAUGCAAUUUUUUUUUGUUUGAUACUUGAUUUUUGUUUAUUAUUAUUAUGAGUGUUAAGUUUAUUAUUGGUAUUUUUUUUCUUGUUAUUCCUAUUGAAUAUAUAUAUUGGUAUAUAGUUACUAUACUUUUGGCAAUUAGGAAAAAAAAACUGUUCUUGUGAAAUAACUAGUUUGUUAUAUAUGUAUAUAUUAGUGAUUAAAUGGGGGAUUCACAACAAGAAAAUAAUAGAGGGAAGGGUAAGGACAAAGAUGGCUAUGUAGCUUGGACCAUGGAGGAAACUAGUGAGUUGUUGUACCUUUUGGUGGAUGCUAUAAAUAGAGGGUUACGUGAUGCCAAUGGGUCCCUUAGUAAACAAAAUGUAGAGCGAGCUAUCCUUCCUCAGCUCAAUGCCAAAACUGAAUCACAUAAAACUUAUAAUCAUUACUUGAGCCGAAUGAAGUGGUUUAGAAAUCAAUACAACAAGAUGUCAACGUUUAUGCGUAACAACUCUGGUUUUGGAUGGGAUUCCGUUGCGAAGACUUACACGGCUACUGAAGAAGUAUGGAAUAAUUACUUAAAGGUGAGCUAAGUUCAAAAUCGUUUAAAAGUAUGAUUGAUUUUUAUUUUUUUUUUGUAAUAUUUAUAGUAUAUUAAUAGUGAAUUUUUUUUGUUUUUUAGUCCCAUCCAUCUCACAAAAAUCUUAAAGGAAAAAGUAUGAUUGAUUAUGAUUAUUUGAAGAUUGUUGUUGGAGGUGGAGUGUCUAGCGGAAAUAAUUCUAUAGCAUUAGACCCUGAGGAUACUGAUGCAACAACUUUUGAGCAAGAAAGUGAAAGUUUUGGAAUGGAAGAUUUUUCAUAUGAUCCCAAUAGUGAUACAUUCAUAGCACCAGAUAACUUUUGGUUGUACUUUUGUUAAAGUAUUUGGUUUGCUUUUUUUUUUUUGUUUAACUAAUGGUUGUAUUUGGAUUGAAGAAUUUAGUUCUGUAUGUUUUGUGAGACUAAUGUGGUUAAAAUUUAAUUAUAUUUUCAUUAUAGUAUUUUAUAUAUUACUUUGCAUUGACUCUUACACUACCUUAAAUAUUGUCUUAUAAUCAUGGCAAUGACAUAGAGGACGAAGAAAUUGAUUAUGAAGGAAUGAGUGAAGAUAUAGAUACUGAAGCUAUAGAUGAUGAUGAUGAUGAUGACGAAGAUGAUGAUGAUACAAAUGAUGAAGAAACAGAUGAAGAAUUGUAUGAAGCCAUAUACAUGUAUAUGAUGGCAAUUCAUGCUUUAAUGCACGUGGUAAAUCAGUUUUUGAAUAUGAUGCGUGGUGAACAUGUUGAACGUCCAUUAACUCGACGACGAAUUACAAGUAAGGGAUAUGACUAUAUACAUAAGUCAUUGAAUGGGGAUUCUGAAAUCUUUCGACAAGUAUAUAGAAUGUAUCCUGAUGUAUUCCGAAAGUUAUGCAUGAUUAUAAGAGAAAAAACACCUUUGGUGGAUACAAGAUUUAUUUGUAUUGAAGAAAUGCUUGCGUCGUUCUUACAGAUUGUCGGUCAGAAUACUCGAUAUUGUAUAAUUAGAAAUACAUUUGGCCGAUCACAAUUUGCUGCAAGUGAAAAUUUUCACAAGAUUUUGAAGGCUUUGAACUCAAUAGCACCUGAUUUGAUGGCUAAACCAACCUCAAGCGUGCCUGCAAAAAUAAGGGAAAGCACAAGAUUUUAUCCUUACUUCAAGGUAUGUGAUCAUUAUCUAAUUAUAAGAGAAUUGUAAAUAUAAUCAUCUUUAUUAUAAUAAUAUUUUUUUUAUGGUUAUAUAUGAAUACACUUUUAGGAUUGCAUUGGAGCUAUUGAUGGUACGCAUAUUCCUGCAUUGGUAAGAGGACGAGAUGUAAGCAGUUAUCGUGAUCGUCAUGGAAGGAUAUCACAAAAUGUAUUAGCUGCUUGUAAUUUUGAUUUGGAGUUCAUGUACGUUCUCAGCGGGUGGGAGGGUUCAGCCCAUGAUUCCAAGUUGCUAAAUGAUGCUUUGAAAAGGAAGAAUGGACUAAAAGUGCCCCACGGUAAGUAAUUAAUUUUUAAAAUAUACUGAUGUUGUUUUUCUUUCACUUUCAUACUUAUUUUAUAUGUAUUUUAAAUUUAAUUAGGUAAAUAUUUUCUGGUGGAUUGCGGAUUUGCUAAUCGACGCAAAUUUUUAGCUCCACAUCGAGGUGUGCGAUAUCAUCUACAAGAUUUUGCAGGUCACGGUAAUGACCCUGAAAAUGAAAAAGAGUUAUUCAAUCUUCGGCAUGCGUCUUUAAGGAAUGUGGUUGAGAGAAUAUUUGGUAUUUUUAAAUCGCGUUUCACAAUUUUUAAGUCAGCACCUCCAUUUUUGUUUAAGACACAAGCAGAACUUGUGUUGGCAUGUGCAGCACUUCAUAACUUUCUUCGCAAAGAAUGUCGUUCCGAUGAAUUUCCAAUUGAACCUUCUAACGAGUCUUCAUCUUCAUCUUCAAUGUUACCUAUUCAUGAAGACAAUAAUGAUGAACUCAAUGUUCAAACACAAGAGCAAGAACGAGAAGAUGCUAAUAUAUGGAGGACUAAUUUAGGUUUAGAUAUGUGGAGAGAUGUACAAGGAAUACCGUGAUACUACUCUAAACGGUGAUUCAGUGAAUCACAUUUCCCUUUUCAUAUUGGGAGAUGCUAAUAUCUAAAGAUAAUCUUGUUUUAAGAAACUUCAUUACCAGCAAGACAUAUUUUGCUUUUUUCCUAGUUUGUUAUUUACGAAAUAUAUUUUGUUUUAUCUUUUUGUUAUGCAGUUAUUUGUUUUUCUCUUUUUGAUGUACCGGUACAAGCUCGAUUUUGAAUCUAGAGAUCACUUUGUUUCGGAAAAAAAAAAUUAUUUGUUUACUAUUUCUAUCAUUCACGGUUGUAAGUUUGUUCUUUUUCCGCUAAAGUUCAUUGAAUCCUUUGAAAUAUUAAAAUCUCAUAAAAUCCUUUGAAAUCCUUAAAAUUCAGUGUGAUAAAUCCCAUAAAAUCCUUUGAAAUCCUUAAAAGUCAGUUUGAUAAAUCCCUUAAAGUCUUUUAAAAUCUUACAGAAUCAAUACAAUCCCACAAAGUCUUUUAAAAUCUUAAAGACUUUUUUUGUUAAAAAAGUCUUUUAAAAUCCUAAUCCAAUACACCCCCCUAAAGUAAAAAAAUGUAACUUCACACCAAAUUAAAUUGAGAUAUGAGUCAUUUGAAACAAACGUGUAAAGUUGUGAGAAAAAAAAUUAAUGAACACAAAAUUAAGAGAAUAGAACCUGGAUACGACAGAGUUUGAGCUUUGUUUGAUGAGAAAAUUAGAGUGUGGUGUUAAACUAGAUUCACUUAUACUUAUAGAUGAAACAAAUUCAAACUAGAAGAGAAGAUGUAUAGGGCUUGAGUUGCGUAUCUCACAUGAGAAAGUUCUUCACAGUCACACUAGUCAUUAUAUGCACGUUUUCUUCAUAAUUUAUUUUGAAAAUUGUUUUUCUCUAUUUUAAAAUUGUUCAUUUUCUAUAGUUAAUUCCGACAUUUUUCAGCUAGACUAAACUCUCAUUCUAUAAUGAGUAAUUUUUUUUUUGACAAUUUAUUCUUAAUUUUGUUGAAGAGUAUAUAUUCAAUAUUUAACUUGCAAUUGAGUUCUUAUUAAUUUUUAGUUAAUUAAUUUAAUGUUUUGAUUUUUUAAAGUCCACUUCGGCUAGAUGACAAUACUUCCAACUUACAAGUCAUCAAAAUUUCCCAACAAGGUGUAUUAUUUGAGGAAAACAAAUUGAGACUAUGGAAUAAAAAACAAGGUACUUAAGGGGUCAAAAUUGCAUAAUUGAAAAAAUGGUAUAUUUUCAAAUUGAACACUUGAAAAACCUAGAGAGAAAAAAUUGCAUCUAAACCUAAUUUUUUUAAUAGUACACUAAUUAUUUAUAGUGUUUUAUAUUUUAGGCUUAACAAUAAUUUUGUCCCCUAUUUUUACUAAACAUACACUAAAACACUUGAGGUUUUAAGGUGAACAGCAAUCUAGGAUGAGUUUUACACUGUGUUUGAUAGAAGAGAAAUAAGAAAGAGAGAAAGAGGGAAGAGAGAAGUUGGAUAGAGAGAAGCAACUUCUCCUGUUUAGUUGAGAAUAGAGAUUAAAGAGAGAGACCAAAUAUGGUGGAACCCAUGCCUGUUUUAUUUCUUUCUUGAAUUGCGAAGAAAUAGAGUAGAGAUGUGAACUUUUUUUGCUCUUUUCCAAAACUAUCCCUGGUAUUGUGGCUAAUAUAAAACUAUUGUCCUUUUUUUUUUUUGUUAACACUGUUGUAUUGUUUUCAUGGUUUUUGUUGUAGCAAGGUAAAAACAAAAACUAAUACGCAACUCUCUUUCCUUUACCUCUUGAUUGGAAUCCUCUUAUAUUAUAAUAAAUAAAUUAAACUAGUAGUUAGUUAACUCUAAUGAAAUAGUUUAACCGAUUAAAUUGUAAAAUUGUAAAUAAAUAAUUAAUUAAGCAAAUAAGUUAUCAAAUUUCUUUGUAAAAAAAUUACUUAGUUUCUUAAUUAAAUUAAUGUAAAAAAUUAUAAGUUAUCAGUUUUUAUAAGAAUUCAUAUAUAAUAAAAUUGUAUAUUAAAGUUUAGUAAGGAUAUUUUGGUCUUUUCAAAAGUUUAACACACUUCUCUCUUCUCUAUUUCUCUCAUUUAUCUCUUAUACUAAACAAUAGGUCAAAUCUACUCUAUUUCUCACCUAUUUCUCUCUUCCUAUACUCUCUCUUCACAACUUCUCUCUUUAUAACUUCUCUCCUAAACCAAACACACCCUUAAAGUUUGGAGAAGGCUAACAACUUUCACUUAAGGCAUUGUUUAGGGCUUGCUGUUAAGGUAUAUACAAAGUUUACAAAAGUAAGUUUAAUUAAAUAUAGUUUUUCAAAAUUAAGUUUGAUUAAAAUGAGUUUGUUCUCGUGUGCUUUUUCUUUGGAUAAGUAAACCAAGGCAUUUCAAUUAUGUUGCCACUUCUUAUUUACUGUUACCUAUCAUAUGCAUUUGGUAUGUUGCGGUUUACUGCUAUUGAUCAUUCUGUUUGUCAAAAAAUCUAUUUGAUAAACAAUAAUGAAGAGGAUGUAAAAUUAGUUGGCUAGAGCUCAGUUAGUUAACUAGCUGGUAGUUUCAGUUACAAUACUGUCUUGGUUACACUACACUGCCUCUCAAUAGUAGCCAUUACAAGUCCAGGGCUCGCGACAUGAAACACGCCUUGGCAUCGUUGCAAUAGCAUGGUUCAAUCGAGGAUUCUUUAAUUCUCUUGCUCCCAAUAUCAAACAAAGUGCGAUUUACAUUACGAUUACAAUGAAGCAACUACAUAGUAGAACAAACUUAUUGCAUAGCCAUACGAUACAAAAAAGAGUGGAAUAAGUACAAAAUACAAACUAUAUAUCACAAAAAUGGCAUCAAGCUUGUCUUUCUCCUAUAGCUAGCAGAAUACAGAUAGAAGUGUAAUUGAUCAGUUACACUUGUCAAACUUAUUCUUCUUUGAUCAAUCAUAUAUUACUUUGACACCAUCCAUGAAACUCCACUUAUAUUAUCAUAUAUGUAACUAAUUAUCUAAAAGUAUAUUAUUUAUAUCCAUAAAAAAUGAAGAACGAGUAGAAUGUCUGAAGUGUUGGUAUGGGAGCUGUUCUGCCACCAAUAGGUAGAAAAGUCCCAUUACUCCGGUGUGCUCCUUGGUGCUGUUGUAGUUAGACUCUAGAGUUAAAGUUUCACCAUCAAUAAUCUUGACAGAACCUGGUUUAGGAUAACAAGUGGACAUUCCUACAAUGUAUCCCGCUUCAUUUCCUGCUUCGCUUCCAUUUCCAUAACUUGGUAUAGAGGAACAUAUAACCCUUCCAUCCUGAAAACAUAAUCCACAAAUUUCACAAAACAAGCCACUACACAAUGUUUAACUUCUUGAUCAAAAGUAAAAUUGUUAGAAUAGCAACUCCGGUUCAAAAGUAAACAGAUAUGAAAAACACAAAAAGAGAACAUACGAAAUUCGAUAAUGGCGUUCGGUCAAUUAUGUCUACCGUUUAGUUUAACAUAUUACAACUCGUGUAUAAAUACUAAGGUCAAGUUUACAAGAUAGCCCUUGAACCAUACCCGUGUUAAUAAACUCAACAAAAAGAAACAUUGACGGUCCUCAAUAGCUAAUAAAUCAAACUAUUUUCUUGUUAGCUAAACAUUUCUUACUAUCAAUUGAAAACAAUCACGUGCUAAGACUAAAAAAAAAGGUGAUAAUUUAUAGUUUAUUUUUAGAGGAAGAAUCAUUAUUAGAAAAUGAUAUAUCAGUUAUACAAUUGUUCUCGAGGGGGUUUGAACUCUGUCUCUUGAAGUCACAAUGUCAAAAUAUUCCCAUUGAGCCGACACCAAGCAUUUAAGAAUGACUUAAGUUACCUGUCCAUAUAGAGUUGAUCCAAUUCCGCCUGAAUGUUGAUGAGCAGCACCAUAGAUCAUAUAGCCACCAGUUUGAAAUGGGAGACUUGUCCUCUUCACAUGAACACAGGAAUUUCCCUCCUUAUGGUCUGUGCUGCAAGAUUCAACUUGAUACUCAUUCUGAAACAAAGAAAACCAUGUUGCUCACUAUAUACCCAAAGUUUUAUGUUUUAGAGUUAAAUUGAGAUUUACACAAACAAAGUACGUGUAUGGAUUCCCUGCAGUCGAGAGACUCUACAUUCAUACAAUCAGUAACACAAUAACUGUUGGAUCAAGAUUGACGAUAAUAAAUUCCAUGCCUGCAGUAUUUUGGAUUUUAGAACAAUCGAAAUCUGUAUAUUUUGUGAAUUGUCUGAUCCUGAUCCAACAGUACACUGAUGGAUUGAUUGCGUGAAUGCAGGGCAUCCCAACUACACGGAACCCAUUUCGACAAACAUGUUUCGUAAUGAAUGCAUUUACCUUGCAGUCAUGAUCUGAGUUCAUUCCUUUUGAAUUAUCUGAUAGUUUCAAAGUAUCAGUAACAUCAAGUAUAUAUAUCUUAACAGGCACUAUAAAAUCAUCCCAAUCAACCCAUUUAACAGUGUAUCUUAAGUAGAGGCUUCUCUUUGGACCCUCAAAACCUUCCUUCAACUUGCACUGUUUAGAAUCAUAACAACAUAACAAACCUCCUUUAUAAUCUGGCCUAAUAGACCUUCCAUAUUCAUCCACUGUAACAUUAUAAAGCUCACACUUACACUCAGUGCACCCUAAUUUAUCCUUUGUGCCUCGCGUAUCGAUGGCAUGAACAUUAAGCAACCAUUUUUCGUGAAACCCUUCUGGAAUCUCUUCAGGAUUGCCUAUCUCUAUACCGAAAGGAUCCGGAAUAUCGGUCGCCGUUCCACGUGUUUCGGAUCCAAGGCCAAAGUAUUGUCCAAGAGUAUUUCCUUGACAUAUGCCACUGUUCCUUAUAAGCACAUUAUCAGAGUUUUGUGUUGCAUGUUUACUUUGAUGAUAUCUUACAACAAGCCAAUGAUGGAGAUAAGUUUCAUGGAGAGGUACAGGAUUCCCUGAUUCGUCAACUACUUCAGCAUUGAAACUCUUGAGUGCUACAUGACCUCUUGGAAAACCAAUAUCAUAAUAAUAUCCAUUGACAACUGAUCCAGGUCCUAGCUCAAAUUUCGGGGACAAAAAUACAGCUGAUUUUAUCUUAGCUUCAGUCUUCAUAGAAGAACCUGAGCAUUGUAUACAUAACAACAGCAGAAACAUUGCCCAUAAUAAUACCAAAUCUCUAGCUACAAAACUCAUGUUGAUCUGUCAGGGAAGAAAUUAUUAGUUAUUAACUAACUAAUUGUUGAUUAAAGACAUACCAAAACAAGAUAAAUAAGCAUGGUUGGAUCUAACACAAAACUGAUUUGUGGAGUGAGGAGUGUCUCUCUUUAUAAACUCUAUUCGUUAGACGUUAUCUUUAGUCUAUCUAUGUGGGACUUGGUUUUUCCAAAACACUGAGUGACCCGAAUCGAUAUGCUCUGAUUUCAUAUUAGAUUUUUAUAUUAGACUUCAUUCAUCCUUACAAAAUCGGUUUAUGAAGUGGGGUGUAAGUCUUUUAUAAACUACUAAAAUCUAAAUUAAUGUUAUGAAUGAAUACAAUUGUGGUGGUCACAGAACAAUUUUAAAACAUUAAUUAUAACAUAAACUUAUGAGCAGACAACUUUUUAUGAUGAAAGUAAAAAGGUUUACCUGGAUAAAUUUAUAGGGAUAUAACAAGCAAUAGGCAGAAACAACAUGUAAGAGAUUGCGUACCUCAAAAAGUUUGACGAAAACUUAGAGUGUGUGUAGGUCGGUAUCAACAUUCAAAGUAUAUUUAUAGAUUAUUAAUGAAUGAAAGUGUACUAAAGAGCCACCUCAUCACGUGAGAACGUUCAACUAAAUCUGUCCUUUCAAACUUGGAGGAGAAGUAAAGUCCAAACGAGGUAUUUGGAUUAAAUUAUUUGUCUGUUUUGUUAUUUCUUCAAUUGGAUAUGCGUUGGAAAAUCUAUGGUCGACAACUUAAGGCAUUCACCACCUAGUCGACACACUUGUUAUGGUUUGGCUAUAGCCGGCCACUCUAGAAUUUAAAAAAAAGAAAAAUGAGAAAUUUCUUUUUUGACGAUUGAAAUUAGUUGUUAAUAUGUUUAGCGAUUGAAAUUGUGAUUGAUAUUUCAAACAUUAAAGUAUAAGAUAUUAAAAAUUGGUCGCUACUUACUGACAAUGUAUACAUUAUACGGUCUAAAAAUUCAAUUUUGAUAUUUUUAUUCAAAAUAGUCUAUCCUAAAAUUAUAAAUUAUACAAUUUAAUUCCAACAAUCACAAUGAUCGCAAAUUUCUAAAAUUAUUAGAAGGGAGUUUUUUUUUUUUAUUUAUUUAAGGACUAGAAGGGAGUUUAUUUCUAGAGUUUAGAGCAUAUAUGAUAUCGAUUAUUAUGAUAAAAUAUAUGUAUUUUAUAUAGCAUUUCCUCUCAAAUGAAAAAACAGAAGAUACAUCAAGAUCACGAAACUUUAAUUCAUCGUUUAAUCUUAAAAUUUAGUAUUUCUACAAGUAUAUUUAAAACAAAAUUUAGAAGAAGAAACUCUAUUAAAAUUUUAGAUAAUUCAACGAGUUUAAAUUAAAGAAUAAGAAUUUAAAUAUGUUGGGUUCAAAUCUGAACAAAAUAAUAAAUAUUAAUAUAACAACUAAUUAUCAAUACAACCUUAACAAAAUAGAAAUUUUUGAGAGAAACUUUAACAAGUUUUUUUUUUUUUUUUUUGACAAAACUUUAACAAUACGGAUUAAACACGGAAACCAAAUACGGAUAAUUAUAGGUAAAUUUAUAAAUGCCCUAUAAAAUAAUUUGAAACAUCCAAAUACGGAUUAAACACGGAAACCAAAUUCUAUGUAUUAUGUUGUCACUUUUAUAUGCUGGGUCAGCCAUGACGUUUUAGAGCGACAACUACAAGGAGGUAGACAAUUUUGUUAGGAAAUAAAAACAAUAUUUUGAAAAGGACAAUAAAUCGAAUCAUCAACAUUUUCCAGGGUACAAAAAUCAAAUAGAAGUGAGAAAGUCAGAGGCACAAUUGGACCAGAGAUGAAUACUAUUGAAAAACAUCAAAACAUACCAAAAGUAUAACAUAACUUAUUUGAAUAAUAUAUCUGUCAAAAGUUCUUUUCAACUUCUAAUUAUAAAAAGUACUAUAUAAGAUAAUUUGGUGAAUGAAAUCCCUCAAAUGAAAAAUAGAGAACAAAAAAAGUAUGUUUGAAGUCAAACUUAAUUUGUUUUACAUUUUUCAUUUUCAAAGACAAAAACAACUUAUAAUUAAAAAAAAGUGUCACGCUAACUUGUGUUUUCAAGAUUACAUUUCUACUUUAAUUUUUUUUUUUUUUUUUUUGACAAAAUGUUUAAUUUUUUAUCAUGUAUCUUUAAGGUACAAGUUAUGCCUUCCGGCACAAGUUACCAUUUACUUUAAAAUAAAUGUCCUCAAAUACAAGAUGCGAGGAAAAUCUAACAGAUUUAAGCUGACUAAGCAAAAAAACAAAUUACGAAAACAAAGCAUCCCAACGAUUACUACGUUCAUUGUAGCACGCAAUCACUUUAACAAAUUGUGCCAUUCUCCAAUCACACAUACAAGACUCAACCUACAUAAUUAUGCAGAUCACUCUAAUGAGAGACCCUGCACAAAUCCUUUCCCAAAAACUUGCAGCCACACUUAAAUAAUUAAACCUUGCACCAAUUACAUAAAUGAAAGUACAUUAGGUUAUGAAAAAGUACUUCUGUUUUAAAUGCAAUUUGUCUACUUCAAACUACACUUAGAAAAUUCACUUUUUCUAAUCUCAUUAGGAUAUGAAAAUUGCAUAAAUUAUGUUGGCUUAAAUGUACUUUUGGUCACCCAAAUUCACUUUUUUUUUUUUUUUUUCUGAAUUUUUCAUCCUCAUAGCAUUUUUGGAUUUAGGUUUGUGGUCUAUCCAUUAAUGACGUGGUAGAGCUUAUAUGGCCCCAUUAAACAUCCAUACUGAUACCAUAAAAAAAGGACCUAAGCAAAAAUAACCUAAAGCAAUGUAUUGUGGCAAAAUUGGUUACUGUUGACGUAUGUUUUCGUAAGCAUAGCUUUCCCUUUCAAGCCAAAUGGAGCUUCUUCAUCAGCUCACAAUUAGGACUCUAAUCAGAUACAUUUCAUACUAAAUGGAAGUCCCUUUUGCAUUACAAUUGCAAUGAAGCAGGUACAUGGUAGAACAAACUUCUCACAUUAUCACAUAGCUAGCUGAAUAGAGAGAAGUGUAAGUAUUCGGUUGCCCUUAACAAUUAAUCACUCAUAUUUUACUUUGAUACCAUCAAUGACACGCCAUUUAUAUUAUGAUUUAAGUAACUAAUUAUCUAAAAGUAUAUUAUUUGUCCAUAAAAAAUGAAGAACGAGUAGAAUGUUCUGCCACCAAUAGGUAGAAAAAUCCCAUUACACCAGUGUGUUCUUGGCUAUUGUUGUAGUUAGACUCUAGAGUUAAAGUUUCACCAUCAAUAAUCUUGAUUGAACCUGGUUUAGGAUAACAUGUGGACAUUCCUACAAUGUAUCCCACUUCAUUUCCUGCUUCGCUUCCAUUUCCAUAACUUGGUUUGGAAGAACAUAUAACCCUCCCAUCCUGAAAACAUAAUCCAUCAAUUUCACAAAACAAGUUAUUGAUCUAUUAUACCAUGUUUAACUUCUUAAACAAACCAGUAUACAAUGAAAACAAGCACCGAUAGUCCUCAACUGCUAAUUAUUCACACCAUUUACUUGUUAAUUAAACAUUUGCUAACCUCAAUCGAAAACUAUUACAUGAACAAAUAGAAGGGAUUAUAUAUAAUCACAAAGUAGUGUUGUCUCGGAGUCCGACUAUACAUCUUUAAUCUCAAGUGUCGGUACUUCCAAGUAUUUAAGAAUUAGUAUAAUCUAUCUUUAACUAUUGGAAAUUACCUGUCCAUAUAGGGUGGAUCCAAUUCCACCUGAAUGCUGAUGUGCAACACCAUAGAUCACAUAUCCACCAGUUUGAAAUGGGAGACUUGUCCUCUUCACAUGAACACACCCAUUUUCCUCCCUAUGGUCUGUGCUGCAAGAUUCAACUUGAUACUCAAUCUGAAACAAAGAAAUCCAUGUUGCUCACUAUGAUACCCAACAAUGGGCUAGUGUUACAUUUAAGAGUUAAAUCGAGAUUGAGACAAAUAAAUUACUAAUUUGGAUUCCUAGCAGCCGAGAGACUCUACAUUCACGCAAUCAGCACAGACUGUUGGACCAAAGAUCAGAAGGUCCUAGAUUUCAAGCUCGGUAUUUUGGAUUUUAAUCAAAAUAAUCAAUAUUCGUAUAUUUUGUGAACUGACUGGUCUUGAUCCAACAUUCAUUGAUGCAUUGACUGUGUGUUUCUUGAUGAAUUCAUUUACCUUGCAAUCAUGAUCAAAGUUCGUUCCUUUUGAGUUAUCUGAUUGUUUCAUACUAUCGGUAACAUCAAUUACAUAUAUCUUAAGAGGCACUAUAAAAUCAUCCCAAUCAACCCAUUUAACAGUGUAUCUUAAGUAGAGGCUUCUCUUUGGACCCUCAAAACCUUCCUUCAACUUGCACUGUGUACAAUCAUAACAACAUAACCAACCUCCUUUAUAAUCUGGCCUUAUAGACCUUCCAUAUUCAUCCACCGUAACAUUAUAAAGCUCGCACUUACACUCAGUGCACCCUAACUUAUCCUCUACGCCACGUGUAUCAAUGGCAUGAACAUUAAGCACCCAUUUAUCCUCGGACCCUUCUGAAACCUCUGCAGGAUUACCUAUCUCUAUACCAAAAGGAUCCGGAAUAUCUGUUGCUGUUCCUCGUGUUUCGGAUCCAAUGCCAAAGUAUUGUCCAAGAGUAUUUCCCUGACAUAUGCCACUGUUCCUCACUUUCACAAUAUUAGAACUUUGAAGCAUCCUUUUGCCAUCAUUUCUUGUGUGUGUGACAUGUUUACUUUGAUGAUAUCUUCCAACACCCCAAUGAUGGAGAUAAGUUUCAUGGAGAGGUAUAGGAUUACCAACUUCAUCAACUACUUCAGCAUUGAAACUCUUGAGUGCAAUAUGACCUCUUGGAAAAUCAAUAUCAUAAUAUUCUUUAUUGAUAACUGAUCCAGGUCCUAACUCGAAUUUUGGGGACAAAAAUACAGCUGAUUUUAUUUUAUUUUCAGCAUUCAAAAAAGAACUUAAGCAUGGUGAGCCAAACAAUAGCAGAAGUAUUGCCACUGAAAAAUGAAACUCUCUAGGUACAAACCACAUGUUGAUCUGCCAGAAAAAUAUUUAUUAGUGAUUCACUAAAUGUUGAUUAAAGAAAUAUUAAAUAGAUACAGAUUGCAACAAUUGUAUUAUUUUCAUAAAAUUUUCUGACAAGAUACUUCAAGAGAAGGCAAUCAGAGAUGAGUAUAAUGAUCAACAGGUAAAUCUAGAGGUAGAAAAUAAAUCACAAAGAGACGUUAAAAAAUUUAAUGUUUUGACUGCUGUUUGCAAAGAAUAUUUUUAAAACCUUAAUUAUGACAUAAACUUAUGACCAAACAUGUUUUGACCAAACAUUUUUUCUUUUUUUUUGAAGGAACCAAACAUGUUUUUUAGAAACAUGAAAUUGGCAGCAGGAGCAUGUAAAAGAAAAGAACAUGAAAUUAAGUUGUGUACCUCAGAAAGAUAAUCUGGAAACGACUCUUAAGUUCUUUGAAGUAUGUUGUAGUCUUUGUGGCUUAAGUUCUAUCUUAAGCAUUUCUUUUUUAUUUUUUUGCUAAUCUAUCUUAAGCAUUUCUUGUUCUUAAUAGAUAGUAUUAAUAUAUUUAUUUCUUUGCCUCUUCAAAAAAAGUAUGCUGUCGUUUUUAUGUGCUGGGUCAGCCAUGAUGUAUUACAGCAACAUUUUUUAGUUUAUCUUGGAGGUAGGUAAGUCAAAGUGAGGUUUAUCUAACUUAACCUUGGUUAUAACCGGUUAUGUCAUUUGUCUUAGAGUUUCAGAGUUGAAUUUUUAAGCAAGGACAAAAGUUAUGGUGCAUAAGCCAUUUCCUUCUGCACAGUUCAUAAACACUUCACAACCAUCAGAUUUCUUUUAUUUUGUGUUUGUCAUUUCUCUCUCUACUCUUUUGAAAAACAAAUUUUCUCUCACUCUCUCUAAGAAACUGAUCUGGGAUGAAGUUUCAUCUUCUACACACCUCCGGCCGCCCUAGGGCAGCGGUGGCGCCGCCGGAGUAUUAGGAAAUGGCUCCGAUUUCAAAAAAAAAUUCACUUUUAAAAAUCAUUUUCCUUCUAUAAUCCAACUUCAGACUCGGUUUUCAGAGAUAAACAACCAAACAGUGUAGAUCUAGGUUUUAACUUUGUUCCCAUUCCUUUCGUUUGCGUUCGAUUUCCUUCUUCUUCUGCUCCUUCGCCGCCGCUUUCUUAUAUGCUUUCUUUGCUUCCCAUCUCUGCUGUCUCGCUAGCUACUUCUUCGUGUUCUUGGGGAGUUCUGAAGUGGGUUGUGAUGGUUCUGGGUUUGGAGGUGGAACUGUGGAUUCGGGUUCGUGAUUUUCACCAUAACUGCACGAAUUUCCGCACCCAUGGGCGGGAUUUACUGCUGGAAACCAUUAAGUACAUCUAAUAGUUUUGGAGUACAACUGCCGGAAACCAUUAAGUAGAUCUAAUGGUUUUCCACGGCAAAAUGGUUUUGGCAUUCCGGUACGGUGAUGCUAACAGUGAUGAUGAUGAACGACGGUGUUGAUGAUGAGAUUUAAGAUUCUGGAAACCAUUUCCACAACAAAAUGGGUUUGUAGUACAACUCACAGAAACCAUUUACACAGCAAAAUGGUUUUGGCAUUCCGGUACGGUGAUGAUGAUCAAUGACGGUGUUGAUGAUGAGAUUGAAGAUUCCAGUGGUGAUGAUGAUGAACGACGGUGAUAAUUCAGUUUGUUUUCACGUUUUGUUUGUUUUGUUUUGUUUGGUUUUCUUUGGGGGUGUAGGAAACAAUUAUGUUGGGAUUUAUGCACCAUAACCGAUCUCAUUUUUAAGUGGUGAUGGAAAACGUUAUAUUUAUCUUUUUUUUUUUAAAGAAACAAACUCAAUUCAUUUCAUUAUAAAUCAUGGACCAGAUACAUGACAGUACAUCAUUGUAGAGGUGGGAGCUAGCAUUACAUAUGCUAUCUUUGAUAGUUCAUGAGCGACCCUGUUAGCUUGCCUCUGCCUAAACUUGACAUGAGAAUUUAGAAAAUUGUUUUGAAACAAUUGCUUACAGACAUAUAUAAUACAACCGAACUCAGUGACAUCAUUUAUACAUGUUCUAAAGGAAUCAACAACCUUCUUAGAAUCUAACACAAAGUCUACAUUAUCAAACUGAAGGUUUGCCACCCAAUCAAGUGUCGUACAUAAACUCAUUGCUUCACCCGCAUUGACGUCACAAAGCGGGGAGAACCAGGUACUUUUUGCAAGCAUAAAAUUACCCUCUUCGCCUCUAAGACAUUCCAAGUCCUACCUUAUUAAGCGACGAGGAGAACGAGGCAUCUAUUUUUCAUUUAUACCUUCUAGGGGCCGGUUUUACCCAUUGUUACCAAGCUAUAAGAGUCGGCCCAUGUGGAUCAGAACUAGAGGGAGUUACACUACCUAAACGAAUGACUUGUGCAUGUCUCCAUUCAUCCAUCAACUACUUUGCACGCUCUAUAACCUGCACAUUAGUCUCGUUAGUUUGUUGCCAAAGUUUCAGGUUUCUGUGUUCCCAUAGGCUCCAUAGUAUUGCUGCAAAAUUUUCACUCUGUAUUGGAGUAAGUUGUUGCUACAAAGUAAAAAUAACAGAAUUCAUAUUAUAAUCCUGACGAAGCACACGAUCAAUCUUAUCCCAUAAAUUCACGGCAUGCCAAACUUGCACAGCACUCAAGCAUUCCAAUAAAACAUGAAUGAUGUCCUCGUAAUUAUUUCUACAAAUUACACAUUCGGUUGGACAAGACACACCUCUACUACUACGUUGUGCUCGAGUGGGGAAACGAAACAGCCCAGACACACGCCACAAGAGAUUUUUUAUCUUGGGGGGAGAUUUAAUGUUCCAAAUUAAGUCCCAACGACCAGAUUUAUGCAAAUGAAUAUUGUCAACAAUUUCAUUCAUACAUAUUCUGUAAGCACUGCGAACGAAAUACCUACCAUUUUUUCAGCCUUUCCAAACCAAUUUUUCACAGUCAAAUGGGCAGUAUGUUGAUCAAAUAAGUUAUAAAUUAAAAGAGCAUUUCAUACUCUUUGCUGCUCUCUUUCACAUCGUUCACAUUCAAUGGGAAACAUGGUUACUUAUCUAAACAUUUCUCUCUCAAGUUUACUUUACUAUUAUGGUUUUUUGGGAGUUUCUUCGCUGCUCUCUUUCACAAUGCCUCCAGUUCUUCUUCUUUCACUAAUUUUUUCCUUCCCACAGUUGUUACAUGGUAGAACAGACUUCUAGCAUAGCCAUAUGAAACAAUAUAGUGGAUUCAGCCAAAAUUACAAAUUUGUUUUUCUCCUAUAGCUAGCUGAAUACACAGAAAUGUAAAUUAUUCAGUUACCCUUUUCAAUCAUCAUGUCUUUAUUCAUCUUUGAUAAAUCAAUCAUAUUUUACUUUGAUACCAUCAAUGACACGCUAUUUAUAUUAUCAUAUGUGUAACUAAUUAUCUGAAAACUUUACAUCCACUACAAAAGAAGAACGAGAAGUAAGUCUAAGUUGUUGGUAUGGGAGUUGUUCUGCCACCAAUAGGUAGAAAAGUCCCAUUACUCCAGUGUGCUCCCUGGUGCUGUUGUAGUUAGACUCUAGGGUUAAAGUUUCACCAUCAAUAAUCUUGACAGAACCUGGUUUAGGAUAACAUGUGGACAUUCCUACAAUAUAGGUUGCCUCAUUUCCUGCUUCAUUUCCGGUUCCAUAACUUGGUAUAGAAGAACAUAUAACCCUCCCAUCCUGAAAACAUAAUCCACAAAUAUCACAAAACUAGUAAAUGUAAAAAAUACAGUGGUUACUUCUUGAUCAAAAGUAUAAGAAACACUGAUAGUACUAAAUUGCAAAUAUAUGAUGCUAUUCUCUUCUUUGUUAAACAUUUUCUACCCUUGAUUGAAAACUAUUACAUGAACAAAUAGAGGUGAUUAUAUAUGAUAAAAAAUGUCAAUAUUGUCUCGGUGUCCGACACUACGACACAUCUUUAAUCUCAAGUAUCAAUGCUAUAUUAGGUGUAAAUAUAGAAUCCCUCUUAAGGGGCAGAAUCAUGAUUGAUUAUACCCUUCCAGAUUGUAGUGGGAGACUUGUCCUUUUCACAUGAACACACCCAUUUCCCUCCUAUUGAUCUGUGCUGCAAGAUUCAACUGAUACUCAACCUGAAACAAAGAAAUCUACGUUGCUCGCAAUAUACCUAACAAACUACUGGACUAGUGUUAUAUAUGUUUUAAGAGUUAAACUAAGAUUGAGAAAAACAAACAAUGAGCAUGGAUUCCCUGCAGUCGUGAAACUCUACAUUCAGGCAAUCAUCGCAACAAUCACUGAUUAAUUGACUAACUAAAUGCUGAGUAUAUUCUACUACACGGAAUCUAUUUCCACAAACUAAAUGUUUCUUGAUGAAUGCAUUUACCUUGCAAUCAUGAUCUGAUUUCAUUCCUUUUGAAUCAUCUGAUAGUUUCAAACUACCAGUGACAUCAAUUAUAUAUAUCUUAACGGGCACUAUAAAAUCAUCCCAAUCAACCCACUUUACUGUGCAUCUUAAGUAAAGGCUUCUCUUAGGUCCUUCGAAACCUUCCUUCAACUUGCACCGUGUAGAAUCAUAACAACAUAACAAACCUCCUUUAUAAUCUGGCCUAAUAGAUUUUCCAUACUCAUCCACUGUAACAUUAUAAAGGUCACACUUACAUUCAGUGCACCCUAAUUUAUCCUCUGUGCCACGCGUAUCGAUGGCAUGAACAUUAAGCAACCAUUUCUCCUCAAACCCUUCUGGAAUCUCUUCAGGACUACCUGUCUCUAUACCAAAAGGAUCUGGAAUAUCUGUUGUCGUUCCUCGUGUUUCUGAUCCAAGGCCAAAGUAUUGUGGAAUGGUAUUUCCCUGGCAUAUGCCACUGUUCCUUACAAGAACAUGAUCAUAGUUUUGAAGCAUCAUGUGGCUACCAUCUUCUGUGUGUGUGACAUAUUUUCUUUGAUAAUGUCAUUCAACAAGCCAAUGAUGGAGAUAGGUUUCAUGGAGGGGUAUAGGAUUACCAUCUUCAUCAACAACUUCAGCAUUGAAACUCUUGAGUGCUAUAUGAUCACUUGGAAAAUCAAUAUAAUAAUAAAAUCUAUUGAUAACUGAUCCAGGUCCAAGUUCAAACUUAGGGGACAGAAAAACAGCUGAUUUUAUUUUAUUUUCAGUCUUCUCAAAAGAACUUAAGCAUGGUGUGCCAAACAAUAAUAGAAGUAUUGCUACUGACAAUUCAAAAUCUCUAGGUACAAACCACAUGUUGAUGAUCUGCCAGAAAAAUAUUUACAAGUAAUUAACUAAUUUUUUAUUAAAGAAAUAUUAAACAGAUGCAGAAUCAAGCUUUCAUUAAACAAGGAAGACAAUGUUUGCAAAUUGCACAUGCACAACAAUAUUAAAAAAGGCAAGAUAAACUACACAAAUAUGCAUGAAAAAACAUAGUUUGAACACAAUCAAUACGGAGCAAAAGCAUGCAGAAGAGAAGAUGGAAUGGCUUGAGUUGCGUUCCUCAGAAAGAUAGUUUGGAAAUGGCAGAGUUGAGCUUUGUUUGACGAGAAAACUAGCUACUAUUCGAAGUAUUUUU
This 22097-nucleotide long non-coding RNA is filed under the name Medicago truncatula (barrel medic). Its description in RNAcentral is "long non-coding RNA (MTRU_LNC002246)". The record is from RNAcentral. Lineage: Eukaryota; Viridiplantae; Streptophyta; Magnoliopsida; Fabales; Fabaceae.